Molecule: ribosomal RNA, 411 nt
Filed under: uncultured bacterium
Lineage: Bacteria
Description: bacterial SSU rRNA
Rfam family: Bacterial small subunit ribosomal RNA
Source: RNAcentral
ACUCCUACGGGAGGCAGCAGUGGGGAAUAUUGCACAAUGGGCGCAAGCCUGAUGCAGCCAUGCCGCGUGUGUGAAGAAGGCCUUCGGGUUGUAAAGCACGUUUCAGUCGUGAGGAAGGUAGUGUAGUUAUNGCUGCNUUAUUUGACGUUAGCGACAGAAGAAGCACCGGCUAACUCCGUGCCGCGCCGCGGUAAUACGGAGGGUGCGAGCGUUAAUCGGAAUUACUGGGCGUAAGCGCAUGCAGGCGGCUGUUAAGUCAGAUGUGAAAGCCCGGGGCUUAACCUCGGAAUUGCAUUUGAAACUGGCAGGCUAGAGUCUUGUAGAGGGGGGUAGAAUUUCAGGUGUAGCGGUGAAAUGCGUAGAGAUCUGAAGGAAUACCAGUGGCGAAGGCGGCCCCCUGGACAGUACUGA